GGACUUUGAGCUCAAUGCCAUGACUGACGAAGACCAUGGGGUUUUCUCUCUUAGAGGGGAGGAAUCCUUGAUAUUCUUCAUUCCAAUUGUUCACCUCUACUAUAGGGCUCAGUAAACACUUAAGGAAGUUGCCGUGCACUGCAGCCUGCCGGAGACAUGAAGGAAUGUACGGGAGGAUAAUCGCAACAUCAUCAACCCAAUUCUCCAAGUAAUUUGCCAUGGGACAGGCACACCCCAUGUGUUUGGGAAGACAAUGGGAAGGUUCUGUUUUCUGCUCCAAGACUGAUUCAACCAGUUGGAUCUGGAAGGGGAUAAAGGGCUGUGUGGCUGCUUGAUUUUCAUUGUCUAGUGGCAGCCAAAGUUGGAAAAGAGAGAAGUGCAGACUUUAAAGGCAAGCAGCGACAGCUCAUCAGCAGUCUAACAACACGACAGAUGACAGGCCCAGAGGCACACCCAGGGCCGCCAGCCCAUCACCCUGUGCAGGAUGUCAGAGAGCAGCUGCAGCAAAGGCAGAAGAUCAUCCAGACUUGAAUGUUUGGGCCUUGCUAAGACCAUAGAGUCUUUGUGCUUUGGAAACAGUCCUCCAUACAAAGACCCCUUCCUAGAAAAAAGUGGAAAGAAACCAAGGUGGAAUGGACACAAGAGAAAGGAGACCAUGCUAAUAUUCUUGUGCAAUGCUUCCUGGGCAGAAACUAUGUCAUAAAGGAUGUUCCAUUCUGCAAAGCUAUGUCUCUCUCUGUGGUUUGCCUCAGAGGAGGGGCCUUUCAUAGCUGUAGUGAGUAAGGGGGCCCUUGCUGAUGUUCAUCAGAUAUGCCAAGGCACAGGAAGAAAGCAUUGAGGUCACAGGGCAGCUCAGGUCCGCCUGUGGUAAUUGAAAACAGAUGAUGAGAUUGGGUUGAUUUUAUUUUGGAAAAGUAAAUUAGGGCUGCACCACUCGGACAUGGCUAAUUCAUGAAGCCUCUGGUUUGUAUUAGACACCCAACAUGCCUUUCAGAAAGAAAUGACACAACAAUUAAUGUGUCAAAUAAUAAUGUGCCACUCGGAGAAAGAUAAUUGUACCCAGCGUCAGGUAGUUAUUAGGUCGAACGAAUGCUCAUCCUUUCAAAGGCAACAGUGUCUAUUCACUCUGGCAUCCUACUGUAAGUACAGUAUUGUGCUCAUAAUCACACAGACUGAAGCCAGGAACACUGGGUUUUAUCUGAUUUUUCUCCAUUUGGAAUUGUACUCCGAUGAUUCCCUAAACAGCAAACUCAGUCAUGUGAAACACAGAUGAGUGUGAUGAAAGACAGAUUGUUAUACUGGAGGAGAGGCUUUCUGUGCUUUUCACAUAAUACAGAGCAUGAGAACUGUUCCCAAGAAGGUUUAAACAUAUGUAACAAAAACUAUCAGACCUCAGUUUGCUCAUGUGUAAAUGAUAGUCUUUCCUUCUGGUGAUUUAAUGCAUGAGGACAUCAAUCAGUCACAUCAUGGCCUCAGAAGUCCUUGUUCAAUUUCUGGUGCCGUAACUUACUCGAUGUGGGAUUUGGACAAGUCAUUUAACUUCACUGCGAUUCUGUUUCCCUCAUUUGAAAAAUAGAAAUAGAAGAGCCUGCUGUAUAUUUAGAUCCACAUCUGUUGGGAGGUCAAAGAAGAAAGAAUAUGAAAAGAUGUUUGUAAAUAUAAAGAACCAUGUAAAUAUAAGACAUUAUUUUAUUAAUGCUCCAGAUCAAUUAACAUUCAGUGAAUGAUAAAAUGUGAUAUCUUUGCAACAGAGAGAGUCUUACUUAAGAAACACUAGGCAAUGGCUUCUGUCCUUACAAAUGAAAAACUUCAUAAUAAAUGGGGGCUUUCAAGACCACCUGCCCAAAACUGAACUAAAUACUCACUUCAUUCAACCAAGAGUGAGGAACUGAAAUAUACGAUUAUUAUAUAUUCAUAUGCUUCUGUUUCAUCUACUCAGGCAUGCUUGUGAUGAGAUGAAAAAUUAGCCAUCUUUAGAAGGAGAGAAAUAUUGUAUUUGGGGGUAUUUCUUCUGUACAGACAAUUGGCCUGGUUAUUGUCUAAAGGUAUUUAAAAUUAAUAAAAUGCAAUUUUAUGCUACAUAAAAUAUUCAAAGCAACGAU
Long non-coding RNA from Symphalangus syndactylus (siamang), 2102 nucleotides. RefSeq lists it as uncharacterized. The record is from RefSeq and is a predicted model, not a curated record. NCBI's taxonomy places the organism in Eukaryota, Metazoa, Chordata, Mammalia, Primates, Hylobatidae.